CCCUUAGACGCUCUGGGCCGCACGCGCGCUACACUGACCAGUGCAACAAGCAUCCGUCCUUGGCCGACAGGCCCGGGCAAUCUUUGAACGCUGGUCGUGAUGGGGAUAGACUUUUGCAAUUUUUGGUCUUCAACGAGGAAUUCCUAGUAAACGCAAGUCAUCAACUUGCAUUGAUUACGUCCCUGCCCUUUGUACACACCGCCCGUCGCACCUACCGAUUGAAUGGUCCGGUGAAGCCUCCGGAUUGGCGCGCACCUCGGUGCCGCCGAGAAGUUGGCUAAACCUUACCAUUUAGAGGAAGGUGGAGUCGUAACA
RNAcentral lists this ribosomal RNA (315 nucleotides) under uncultured eukaryote. RNAcentral's name for it is "partial 18S ribosomal RNA". It matches the Rfam family "Eukaryotic small subunit ribosomal RNA", at positions 1470 to 1796 of the family's 1831-position model. The record is from RNAcentral.